UAUCCUGUUCAAAAAUAUAUCACAUUUGAAGAUGCCUUAAAGGUGCUGGGGGAGCCAAUCAGGAGUGAGAAGGUGAUGUCCAUGGAGAUGCUCCCCAUCAACAAUGACAACGGGCAGUCAUACGGCUACAUCCUGUACAGGCACAAACUUAUCCAUACACCGGCCACAGAGUCUCUCACUCUCAAGUGUGAUGUCAGGGACAGAGCUCAGAUAUUUGUGAAUGGUAAGGAGUCAGGCAUGCUGAACUGGAGAGUUGGAGAGAUC
Molecule: long non-coding RNA, 264 nt
Organism: Branchiostoma belcheri (Belcher's lancelet)
Lineage: Eukaryota; Metazoa; Chordata; Leptocardii; Amphioxiformes; Branchiostomatidae
Exons: 4
Source: RefSeq, a predicted model, not a curated record